RNAcentral lists this ribosomal RNA (674 nucleotides) under uncultured bacterium. Its description in RNAcentral is "bacterial SSU rRNA". It matches the Rfam family "Bacterial small subunit ribosomal RNA", at positions 544 to 1216 of the family's 1533-position model. The record is from RNAcentral.
UCCGGAUUUAUUGGGCGUAAAGGGCUCGUAGGCGGCUCGUCGCGUCCGGUGUGAAAGUCCAUCGCUUAACGGUGGAUCUGCGCCGGGUACGGGCGGGCUGGAGUGCGGUAGGGGAGACUGGAAUUCCCGGUGUAACGGUGGAAUGUGUAGAUAUCGGGAAGAACACCGAUGGCGAAGGCAGGUCUCUGGGCCGUCACUGACGCUGAGGAGCGAAAGCGUGGGGAGCGAACAGGAUUAGACACCCUGGUAGUCCACGCCGUAAACGGUGGACGCUGGAUGUGGGGCACGUUCCACGUGUUCCGUGUCGGAGCUAACGCGUUAAGCGUCCCGCCUGGGGAGUACGGCCGCAAGGCUAAAACUCAAAGAAAUUGACGGGGGCCCGCACAAGCGGCGGAGCAUGCGGAUUAAUUCGAUGCAACGCGAAGAACCUUACCUGGGCUUGACAUGUUCCCGACGACGCCAGAGAUGGCGUUUCCCUUCGGGGCGGGUUCACAGGUGGUGCAUGGUCGUCGUCAGCUCGUGUCGUGAGAUGUUGGGUUAAGUCCCGCAACGAGCGCAACCCUCGCCCCGUGUUGCCAGCCCGUUAUGGUGGGAACUCACGGGGGACCGCCGGGGUUAACUCGGAGGAAGGUGGGGAUACGUCAAAUCCUCAUGCCCCCUUACCUUCAGGGCUU